AUAGAUAAUGUGCCCCUUAGUUCGGGAUAGCCACUGGAAAUGGUGAUUAAUACCGGAUACUCCUUCUUGUUAUAAGACAAGUCGGGAAAGUUUUUCGCUAAGGGAUCAGUCUAUGUUCCAUCAGCUUGUUGGUGAGGUAAUGGCUCACCAAGGCUAUGACGGAUAUCUGGUUUGAGAGGAUGAUCAGACACACUGGAACUGAGACACGGUCCAGACUCCUACGGGAGGCAGCAGUGAGGAAUAUUGCACAAUGGAGGAAACUCUGAUGCAGCAACGCCGCGUGGAGGAUGACGCAUCUCGGUGUGUAAACUCCUUUUAUUAGGGAAGAUAAUGACGGUACCUAAUGAAUAAGCACCGGCUAACUCCGUGCCAGCAGCCGCGGUAAUACGGAGGGUGCAAGCGUUACUCGGAAUCACUGGGCGUAAAGGGUGCGUAGGCUGGCUUUUAAGUCAGAUGUGAAAUCCAAUGGCUCAACCAUUGAACUGCAUUUGAAACUGAAAGCCUAGAGUUCAGAAGGGGCAGAUGGAAUUAGUGGUGUAGGGGUAAAAUCCGUAGAUAUCACUAGGAAUAUCAAAAGCGAAGGCGAUCUGCUGGGAUGAU
RNAcentral lists this ribosomal RNA (600 nucleotides) under uncultured bacterium. RNAcentral's name for it is "bacterial SSU rRNA". It matches the Rfam family "Bacterial small subunit ribosomal RNA", at positions 117 to 738 of the family's 1533-position model. The record is from RNAcentral.